This 492-nucleotide ribosomal RNA is filed under the name uncultured bacterium. RNAcentral's name for it is "partial 16S ribosomal RNA". It matches the Rfam family "Bacterial small subunit ribosomal RNA", at positions 29 to 507 of the family's 1533-position model. The record is from RNAcentral.
AGUGAACGCUGGCGGUAGGCCUAACACAUGCAAGUCGAACGGCAGCACAGUAAGAGCUUGCUCUUACGGGUGGCGAGUGGCGGACGGGUGAGGAAUACAUCGGAAUCUACUUUUUCGUGGGGGAUAACGUAGGGAAACUUACGCUAAUACCGCAUACGACCUACGGGUGAAAGCAGGGGAUCUUCGGACCUUGCGCGAUUGAAUGAGCCGAUGUCGGAUUAGCUAGUUGGCGGGGUAAAGGCCCACCAAGGCGACGAUCCGUAGCUGGUCUGAGAGGAUGAUCAGCCACACUGGAGCGGAGACACGGUCCAGACUCCUACGGGAGGCAGCAGUGGGGAAUAUUGGACAAUGGGCGCAAGCCUGAUCCAGCCAUACCGCGUGGGUGAAGAAGGCCUUCGGGUUGUAAAGCCCUUUUGUUGGGAAAGAAAAGCAGCAGGUUAAUACCACGCUGUUCUGACGGUACCCAAAGAAUAAGCACCGGCUAACUUCGUG